RNAcentral lists this long non-coding RNA (209 nucleotides) under Elaeis guineensis (African oil palm). RNAcentral's name for it is "long non-coding RNA (EGUI_LNC021359)". The record is from RNAcentral. Lineage: Eukaryota; Viridiplantae; Streptophyta; Magnoliopsida; Arecales; Arecaceae.
UUCGUAACACUGGUCGCCUCUGCCAUCGUUGACCAUUUCAAGGCAAAUGCACACUCAAGUUAUAUAUACUCAAGUCAGUUUAGAUUUUAUUAUUACCUGCACUUGUGAUAGAUCUGCUGAGGAUAAGGACCUAUCUAGAAAAAUUUUUUUUGUACAUCACAGACGGUGUAGAACGCGCACACUCCGUGAUAAUUGACUCACACAAAAUC